This 616-nucleotide long non-coding RNA is filed under the name Dermacentor andersoni. RNAcentral describes it as "uncharacterized LOC126522055". The record is from RNAcentral. Lineage: Eukaryota; Metazoa; Arthropoda; Arachnida; Ixodida; Ixodidae.
CAUGAGAAAGAAAGGCAGUAGCGGCCUGCGACAUCGGUGUUUCUUUGUGACAGUGUGUUUACUAUGCCUACGACGGCGGUCAUUCGUGGCCAACGAGAAAACAUCUUCCAUUCGGCCUGACCAGUGAUGAAGUGGACUUUUUUUUUCGGCGGAAUCCAUCGUCAACAUCGUCCAUCCACUACGUAAACGAAAUGGCGUGCCCAGAGUAUACAUCGUGACAGCGCUCCGCCUUCAAACCGAGGGCCUUUUGCAAGGCGCAUGGACGGCUCAUAUAAAAGUUAGUCAGCAUGAAGCAAUUGCAUGGGAACCGGCCGAUUGUCUUGGGCCUACACAUUGCUCAAAAGACAGUGAAGGUGUCUGAGCCGACAGGUAGAAAACAAGCAGAUGGCUACAGCGAUCAAUGAAGAAAUGGCUUCAUCUAUGAUGGCUCGCCUUAGGACAUUGGAAUGGAGCUACACAAAGGCAUCACCAGCCUCGCCUGUGCAUUGGAACAUUGGUUUGAAUAAGACUGUUCUUCAGUGUAGAACGACCACAAGACUUGUCACCACAUACAAGGCGUAGUGCAAGCUCUAAAUAUUGUACAGGUGGCUAGAAUAAAUGACCCUCCAUGCAGUCA